CAGUAAAUUUGUCUAGCAGGCUUUCCAGUCUUCACUGGAAAGCCCCC
Molecule: small nuclear RNA, 47 nt
Filed under: Rhinopithecus bieti (black snub-nosed monkey)
Lineage: Eukaryota; Metazoa; Chordata; Mammalia; Primates; Cercopithecidae
Description: U7 small nuclear RNA (ENSRBIG00000001713.1)
Rfam family: U7 small nuclear RNA (bases 6-47)
About the family: Animal histone pre-mRNAs are spliced by a different mechanism than nuclear pre-mRNAs and self-splicing introns. This processing involves the U7 snRNP, which contains only one RNA species: U7.
Source: RNAcentral